UACGAGGGGUGCUAGCGUUGUUCGGAAUUACUGGGCGUAAAGCGCGCGUAGGCGGACCUGCAAGUCGGGGGUGAAAGCCCGAGGCUCAACCUCGGAACUGCCUUCGAUACUGCGGGUCUCGAGUCCGGGAGAGGUGAGUGGAAUUCCUAGUGUAGAGGUGAAAUUCGUAGAUAUUAGGAAGAACACCAGUGGCGAAGGCGGCUCACUGGCUCGGUACUGACGCUGAGGCGCGAAAGCGUGGGGAGCAAACAGG
RNAcentral lists this ribosomal RNA (253 nucleotides) under uncultured bacterium. RNAcentral describes it as "partial 16S ribosomal RNA". It matches the Rfam family "Bacterial small subunit ribosomal RNA", at positions 524 to 776 of the family's 1533-position model. The record is from RNAcentral.